CCUACGGGUGGCAGCAGUGGGGAAUUUUGGACAAUGGGCGCAAGCCUGAUCCAGCUAUUCCGCGUGUGGGAAGACGGCCUUCGGGUUGUAAACCACUUUUGUAGAGAACGAAAAGGCUGUUGAUAAUACCGAUAGAUGAUGACGGGACUCUAAGAAUAAGCACAGGCUAACUACGUGCCAGCAGCCGCGGUAAUAAGUAGGGUGCGAGCGUUAAUCGGAAUUACUGGGCGUAAAGGGUGUGCAGGCGGUUUUGCAAGAUGGAUGUGAAAGCCCCGGGGCAAACCUGGGAAAGCCAUACAUGACUGCAAGACUAGAGUGCGUCAGAGGGGGGUGGAAUUCCAAGUGUAGCAGUGAAAUGCGUAGAUAUUUGGAAGAACACCGAUGGCGAAGGCAGCCCCCUGUGACGCAACUGACGCUCAUACACGAAAGCGUGGGGAGCAAACAGGAUUAGAUACCCGAGUAGUC
Molecule: ribosomal RNA, 465 nt
Filed under: uncultured bacterium
Lineage: Bacteria
Description: partial 16S ribosomal RNA
Rfam family: Bacterial small subunit ribosomal RNA
Source: RNAcentral